CUGCCAGCCGCCGCGGUAAUACCAGCAGUUCAAGUUGCAUCCCUUUUUAUUGGGUCUAAAACAUCCGUAGCUCGCCGUUUAAGUCUCUUGUGAAAUCCUACGUCUCAAGCGUGGGGCUUGCAGGAGAUACUGAGCGGCUAGAGAUCGGUAGACGUAAGGAGUACGCCGGAGGUAACGGUUAAAUGUGUUAAUCUUCGGUGGACUAACAAUGAGCGAAGGCACCUUACGAGGACGAAUCUGACAGUGAGGGAUGAAGGCCAGGGGCGCAAAACGGAUUAGAUACCCGUGUAGUCCUAGCAGUAAACACUGUACACUAAACAUUGGGACCUCUUCGAGAGGUUUCAGUGCUGCAGGGAAGCCGAAGAGUGUACUACCUGGAAAGUAUAGCCGCAAGGCCGAAACUCAAAUGAAUUGACGG
Molecule: ribosomal RNA, 418 nt
Filed under: uncultured bacterium
Lineage: Bacteria
Description: bacterial SSU rRNA
Rfam family: Archaeal small subunit ribosomal RNA
Source: RNAcentral